RNAcentral lists this ribosomal RNA (253 nucleotides) under uncultured bacterium. RNAcentral's name for it is "partial 16S ribosomal RNA". It matches the Rfam family "Bacterial small subunit ribosomal RNA", at positions 524 to 776 of the family's 1533-position model. The record is from RNAcentral.
UACGUAGGGUGCAAGCGUUGUCCGGAAUUAUUGGGCGUAAAGAGCUCGUAGGCGGUUUGUCGCGUCGGCUGUGAAAACUCGGGGCUCAACCCCGAGCCUGCAGUCGAUACGGGCAGACUAGAGUGCGGUAGGGGAGACUGGAAUUCCUGGUGUAGCGGUGAAAUGCGCAGAUAUCAGGAGGAACACCGGUGGCGAAGGCGGGUCUCUGGGCCGUAACUGACGCUGAGGAGCGAAAGCGUGGGGGGCAAACAGG